UUUUGGAUUUGCCUGAAGCACCUAUUUAACUGACUGGUUUAUAUGAUGAACAAAACCAAAUCACCAUCUUUCGGCUGAUCUUGAU
RNAcentral lists this small nucleolar RNA (85 nucleotides) under Sphenodon punctatus (tuatara). Lineage: Eukaryota; Metazoa; Chordata; Lepidosauria; Sphenodontia; Sphenodontidae. The record is from RNAcentral.